GUACCCUCAAGCUUUGCUUGGUGUUGGGCGUCUUGUCUUUUCCGUUUUGUGAUUAGACUCGCCUUAAAGUAAUUGGCAGCCAGUGUUUUGGUAGUAAGCGCAGCACAAUUUGCGUCUUGGUCCCUAAGCAGUGGCAUCCACAAAGCCUUUUUCUCAC
This 157-nucleotide unclassified non-coding RNA is filed under the name uncultured Phaeosphaeriaceae. Its description in RNAcentral is "sequence contains ITS2". Lineage: Eukaryota; Fungi; Ascomycota; Dothideomycetes; Pleosporales; Phaeosphaeriaceae. The record is from RNAcentral.